This 468-nucleotide ribosomal RNA is filed under the name uncultured bacterium. RNAcentral describes it as "partial 16S ribosomal RNA". It matches the Rfam family "Bacterial small subunit ribosomal RNA", at positions 28 to 507 of the family's 1533-position model. The record is from RNAcentral.
GACGAACGCUGGCGGCGUGCUUAACACAUGCAAGUCGAACGGAAAGGCCCUGCUUUUGUGGGGUGCUCGAGUGGCGAACGGGUGAGUAACACGUGAGUAACCUGCCCUUGACUUUGGGAUAACUUCAGGAAACUGGGGCUAAUACCGGAUAGGAGCUCCUGCUGCAUGGUGGGGGUUGGAAAGUUUCGGCGGUUGGGGAUGGACUCGCGGCUUAUCAGCUUGUUGGUGGGGUAGUGGCUUACCAAGGCUUUGACGGGUAGCCGGCCUGAGAGGGUGACCGGCCACAUUGGGACUGAGAUACGGCCCAGACUCCUACGGGAGGCAGCAGUGGGGAAUAUUGCACAAUGGGCGGAAGCCUGAUGCAGCAACGCCGCGUGCGGGAUGACGGCCUUCGGGUUGUAAACCGCUUUCGCCUGUGACGAAGCGUGAGUGACGUUAAUUGGUAAAGAAGCACCGGCUAACUACGUG